Molecule: ribosomal RNA, 497 nt
Filed under: uncultured bacterium
Lineage: Bacteria
Description: partial 16S ribosomal RNA
Rfam family: Bacterial small subunit ribosomal RNA
Source: RNAcentral
GACGAACGCUGGCGGCGUGCCUAAUACAUGCAAGUAGAACGCUGAAGAGAAGAGCUUGCUCUUCUUGGAUGAGUUGCGAACGGGUGAGUAACGCGUAGGUAACCUGCCUUGUAGCGGGGGAUAACUAUUGGAAACGAUAGCUAAUACCGCAUAACAAUGGAUGACCCAUGUCAUUUAUUUGAAAGGGGCAAAUGCUCCACUACAAGAUGGACCUGCGUUGUAUUAGCUAGUAGGUGAGGUAACGGCUCACCUAGGCGACGAUACAUAGCCGACCUGAGAGGGUGAUCGGCCACACUGGGACUGAGACACGGCCCAGACUCCUACGGGAGGCAGCAGUAGGGAAUCUUCGGCAAUGGGGGCAACCCUGACCGAGCAACGCCGCGUGAGUGAAGAAGGUUUUCGGAUCGUAAAGCUCUGUUGUAAGUCAAGAACGUGUGUGAGAGUGGAAAGUUCACACUGUGACGGUAGCUUACCAGAAAGGGACGGCUAACUACGUG